CUUAAAUUGAAGAGUUUGAUCAUGGCUCAGAUUGAACGCUGGCGGCAGGCCUAACACAUGC
This 61-nucleotide ribosomal RNA is filed under the name Vibrio parahaemolyticus. Its description in RNAcentral is "partial 16S ribosomal RNA". RNAcentral also lists the same sequence under 2 other names. The record is from RNAcentral. Lineage: Bacteria; Pseudomonadati; Pseudomonadota; Gammaproteobacteria; Vibrionales; Vibrionaceae.